Molecule: long non-coding RNA, 192 nt
Organism: Pollicipes pollicipes
Lineage: Eukaryota; Metazoa; Arthropoda; Thecostraca; Pollicipedomorpha; Pollicipedidae
Exons: 2
Source: RefSeq, a predicted model, not a curated record
CGGCAAGGCUUCCUGGCCAAGCCGCCCGGCGGCCGGAAACUGCGCAAGGAGCGCAAGAACCGCAUGAAGAAGGUGCGCGGCACGGCCAAGGCCAAGGUGACCUCCGGCAAGAAGUGAGCUGGCCGGCCGUCCACCAUCACUGCUCCCUCAUCUGUGUCCCUGCGACUGUCAAUAAAUACCUGACCGUCGCCA